Molecule: ribosomal RNA, 107 nt
Filed under: Salmonella enterica subsp. enterica serovar Enteritidis
Lineage: Bacteria; Pseudomonadati; Pseudomonadota; Gammaproteobacteria; Enterobacterales; Enterobacteriaceae
Source: RNAcentral
AAUAGCGCGGUGGUCCCACCUGACCCCAUGCCGAACUCAGAAGUGAAACGCCGUAGCGCCGAUGGUAGUGUGGGGUCUCCCCAUGCGAGAGUAGGGAACUGCCAGGC